ACGGAGGAUCCAAGCGUUAUCCGGAUUCAUUGGGUUUAAAGGGUGCGUAGGCGGAAUAAUAAGUCAGUGGUGAAAUCUUAUAGCUUAACUGUAAAACUGCCAUUGAUACUGUUGUUCUUGAGUACAAUUGAAGUGGGUGGAAUGUAUCAUGUAGCGGUGAAAUGCUUAGAUAUGAUACAGAACACCAAUUGCGAAGGCAACUCACUAAAUUGUAACUGACGCUAAUGCACGAAAGCGUGGGGAGCAAACAG
This 251-nucleotide ribosomal RNA is filed under the name uncultured prokaryote. RNAcentral describes it as "partial 16S rRNA". It matches the Rfam family "Bacterial small subunit ribosomal RNA", at positions 525 to 775 of the family's 1533-position model. The record is from RNAcentral.